This 253-nucleotide ribosomal RNA is filed under the name uncultured bacterium. RNAcentral's name for it is "partial 16S ribosomal RNA". It matches the Rfam family "Bacterial small subunit ribosomal RNA", at positions 524 to 776 of the family's 1533-position model. The record is from RNAcentral.
UACAGAGGGGGCAAGCGUUGUUCGGAAUUACUGGGCGUAAAGGGCGCGUAGGCGGCCUGCUAAGUCGAACGUGAAAUCCCCGGGCUCAACCCGGGAACUGCGUCCGAUACUGGCAGGCUUGAAUUCGGGAGAGGGAUGCGGAAUUCCAGGUGUAGCGGUGAAAUGCGUAGAUAUCUGGAGGAACACCGGUGGCGAAGGCGGUUGCCUGGAGCUUUGCUGACGCUGAUGCGCGAAAGCGUGGGGAGCGAUCCGG